This 53-nucleotide transfer RNA is filed under the name Basilinna leucotis. Its description in RNAcentral is "partial tRNA-Lys". Lineage: Eukaryota; Metazoa; Chordata; Aves; Apodiformes; Trochilidae. The record is from RNAcentral.
CAGCACUAGCCUUUUAAGCUAGAGAAAGAGGACCACUAACCCUCCCUAAUGAU